RNAcentral lists this ribosomal RNA (473 nucleotides) under uncultured bacterium. Its description in RNAcentral is "bacterial SSU rRNA". It matches the Rfam family "Bacterial small subunit ribosomal RNA", at positions 355 to 825 of the family's 1533-position model. The record is from RNAcentral.
UGGGGAAUUGUUCACAAUGGGCGCAAGCCUGAUGACGCAACGCCGCGUGGGGGAUGAAGGUCUUCGGAUCGUAAACCCCUGUCGAAUGGGACGAAAGACUCGCGAGUGAAUACUUCGCGAGAGUGACGGUACCGUUAAAGGAAGCCACGGCUAACUCUGUGCCAGCAGCCGCGGUAAUACAGAGGUGGCAAGCGUUGUUCGGAAUUACUGGGCGUAAAGGGCGCGUAGGCGGCCCUCUAAGUCAGAUGUGAAAUCCCCGGGCUCAACCUGGGAAUUGCAUUUGAGACUGCACGGCUAGAGUGUGUCAGAGGGGGGUAGAAUUCCACGUGUAGCAGUGAAAUGCGUAGAUAUGUGGAGGAAUACCGAUGGCGAAGGCAGCCCCCUGGGAUAACACUGACGCUCAUGCACGAAAGCGUGGGGAGCAAACAGGAUUAGAUACCCACGUAGUCCCUGAGCGGGCUGGCAAGGCGCAU